UGGGAAUCAGUGUUUCUGUGAAGACCAA
This 28-nucleotide non-coding RNA is filed under the name Rattus norvegicus (Norway rat). Lineage: Eukaryota; Metazoa; Chordata; Mammalia; Rodentia; Muridae. The record is from RNAcentral.